GGACUCUGACCGGGAGAGUUCUCGCAUCCGCAGGGUGCGAGGCGCCGAAGGGGCAACAUCCCCGCCAACCUCUCAGGCACACGGACCGGUCAGGCGAG
Molecule: non-coding RNA, 98 nt
Filed under: Jiangella alkaliphila
Lineage: Bacteria; Bacillati; Actinomycetota; Actinomycetes; Jiangellales; Jiangellaceae
Description: Glycine sequence
Rfam family: Glycine riboswitch aptamer
About the family: This family represents the bacterial glycine riboswitch. Glycine riboswitches usually consist of two metabolite-binding aptamers domains with similar structures in tandem.
Source: RNAcentral